AUUGAACGCUGGCGGCAUGCUUUACACAUGCAAGUCGAACGGCAGCACAGGGAGCUUGCUCCCGGGUGGCGAGUGGCGCACGGGUGAGUAAUACAUCGGAACGUGUCCUGUUGUGGGGGAUAACUGCUCGAAAGGGUGGCUAAUACCGCAUGAGACCUGAGGGUGAAAGCGGGGGAUCGCAAGACCUCGCGCAAUUGGAGCGGCCGAUGCCCGAUUAGCUAGUUGGUGGGGUAAAGGCUCACCAAGGCGACGAUCGGUAGCUGGUCUGAGAGGACGACCAGCCACACUGGGACUGAGACACGGCCCAGACUCCUACGGGAGGCAGCAGUGGGGAAUAUUGGGCAAUGGGCGCAAGCCUGACCCAGCAACGCCGCGUGAAGGAAGAAGGCUUUCGGGUUGUAAACUUCUUUUGUCAGGGACGAGUAGAAGACGGUACCUGACGAAUAAGCCACGGCUAACUACGUG
Molecule: ribosomal RNA, 465 nt
Filed under: uncultured bacterium
Lineage: Bacteria
Description: bacterial SSU rRNA
Rfam family: Bacterial small subunit ribosomal RNA
Source: RNAcentral